AGUAAAUAGAUACCCAGGUAGUCCACGCCGUAAACGAUGUCGACUUGGAGGUUGUGCCCUUGAGGCGUGGCUUCCGGAGCUAAACGCGUUAAGUCGACCGCCUGGGGAGUACGGCCGCAAGGUUAAAACUCAAAUGAAUUGACGGGGGCCCGCACAAGCGGUGGAGCAUGUGGUUUAAUUCGAUGCAACGCGAAGAACCUUACCUACUCUUGACAUCCAGAGAGCUUUCCAGAGAUGGAUUGGUGCCUUCGGGAACUCUGAGACAGGUGCUGCAUGGCUGUCGUCAGCUCGUGUUGUGAAAUGUUGGGUUAAGUCCCGCAACGAGCGCAACCCUUAUCUUUUGUUGCCAGCGGUUAGGCCGGGAACUCAAAGGAGACUGCCAGUGAUAAACUGGAGGAAGGUGGGGAUGACGUCAAGUCAUCAUGGCCCUUACGAGUAGGGCUACACACGUGCUACAAUGGCGCAUACAAAGAGAAGCGACCUCGCGAGAGCAAGCGGACCUCAUAAAGUGCGUCGUAGUCCGG
This 524-nucleotide ribosomal RNA is filed under the name uncultured bacterium. RNAcentral's name for it is "bacterial SSU rRNA". It matches the Rfam family "Bacterial small subunit ribosomal RNA", at positions 774 to 1296 of the family's 1533-position model. The record is from RNAcentral.